Molecule: long non-coding RNA, 1562 nt
Organism: Ipomoea nil (Japanese morning glory)
Lineage: Eukaryota; Viridiplantae; Streptophyta; Magnoliopsida; Solanales; Convolvulaceae
Exons: 6
Source: RefSeq, a predicted model, not a curated record
AACAGAUCUCGCUGACCUAGCUGCGCUCACUCUCAUAUCUCACCUCUCCUCAACGCGUCUUCCUGCCUCCACCAUCACUCUCACCACACCUCCGUCGUCGCUGCGCUCCUCCCCAUAGGCCACACCUCCGUCGUCGCCCUCACCAGCGCCUCCCUCAUCCUCCCACGACGCCGCUUACACCGCCUCUCUCACCACGACUCCCUCAGCCACGACCAAAAACCGCCGCCGCCACCAAGAUAAGGAUCCAACGCCUCUCUCAUCAGCCACCCACGACCCCGCCACCACCCUCGCCACCGCCGCGGCUGCUUCUGUGACUUCCACCGUCGGCAGCUGGUGAACAGAACUGUACGUGCAGGUAUUUAUUUGAACAUAGCUGGCAUAAAUCGGGAACAUUGAUAUGUUUGGUUCUCAGCCGAUCACAAGUAGGAAGAGAGGAGGAACAAAGCUGCCAAAAGAAAGUCUUUAGCUUUGGAGGGAGUUUGAAUUUCCAGAAUCUGGUCCAAAUUGGGACUUGGACAGAACUGAAAUCACCUGCAAGAGUAUUAUAGCAACUACGCACAGUGUUGGAUAAGGCCAGCAACUUUAGUGAUUCCAGAUUGAAUGGGUGCAAGGGGCUGAAUGAAUGGUUGGUUCUUGUUUGGCAUAGAUGUCAACCUUUAUGCAUUGGUGUUUGAUGAAUCUGUUUUAAAUGAUGCAGUAAGUGAGGAGUUUGGUAAUUCUCUUUGCUAAUUAGCUUCUUUUUUUUUAAAAUGUUUUUGUGUUGCACAACUGGAAGAUGGAAAUUUCUCUAUACAGGUCAGUUUAGUUGAAAUGCUUUUCUAAUUAGACUAAUGUAGGAGAUCUGGCCAAAGUGGUUACAGAUACGCAGUUAUCUAUUUAUUUGUGCAUAUUUUUUGAAAUGUAGGAGAUCUCCUCGGUCCUCUCCUAGUAACCAGGACAGAGCUGAACCAUCUGAUUUUCAGUAUUUCUCUGAAUCCUUAAGUAGUUUAGAUGAUGAUCUUGAAAGAGUGAAAACUGGAUUUAGAAAAAAGAAGAAAUGGCAUGCUUCAGAUGAUGAUUUUUCCUCACGUUCAGCUUAGGCCUGCAGACAGUGUAGAGAAGGCUUCUAAAACUGCUGAGAUAAACCCGAGGAAAAUCAAGAUGAGGAGACUAGAAAAGUAAAUCCAAGAGAACUCAACCCAUAUUUGAAGGAUAAACGCUUUAAAGCGAGUUAAAGAGCAAGCUGCUCUCGAAGGACGAAAGUUGGAUGAGGUAGUUGAAGAAUUGUGGGGUUCAUUGAGUCAACUAGCUGUUUCUGUUGCAUCCCGCAAAGUUGCCCCAAACCAUGCUCAUCUUCAUGCCAUCAAAAGUAGAAGGGGUGUAAUGGGAGAGUGAUCUGUUGAGAAGUGUACUACAGAAGUUGGAUCUGCAAUGUCCUAGUCUUUUCCUGAUAUAUUUGACUUAGUUUUAGCUCCCUUGUGAUAGAUUUAUAACACCUGUUAAACUUGGAAUCAAUUAGCUGUGAUUCAUGUGCUUGGCUAUUAAUGAAUCUAAUUUAUAUUUAUAUAUAUCAGUAAUGCACU